Molecule: ribosomal RNA, 253 nt
Filed under: uncultured bacterium
Lineage: Bacteria
Description: partial 16S ribosomal RNA
Rfam family: Bacterial small subunit ribosomal RNA
Source: RNAcentral
UACGGAGGGUGCAAGCGUUAUCCGGAUUCAUUGGGCUUAAAGGGUGCGUAGGUGGGCUAGUAAGUCCGUGGUGAAAUCUCCAAGCUUAACUUGGAAACUGCCGUGGAUACUAUUAGUCUUGAAUAUUGUGGAGGUAAGCGGAAUAUGUCAUGUAGCGGUGAAAUGCUUAGAUAUGACAUAGAACACCGAUAGCGAAGGCAGCUUGCUACACAAUCAUUGACACUGAGGCACGAAAGCGUGGGGAUCAAACAGG